AGGCCACUGCUAUGGGGGUCCGACUAAGCCAUGCGAGUCAUGGGGCGCCUUGCGCGCACCGGCGGACGGCUCAGUAACACGUCGGUAACCUACCCUCGGGAGGGGGAUAACCCCGGGAAACUGGGGCUAAUCCCCCAUAGGCCUGAGGUACUGGAAGGUCCUCAGGCCGAAAGGGGCUCUGCCCGCCCGAGGAUGGGCCGGCGGCCGAUUAGGUAGUUGGUGGGGUAACGGCCCACCAAGCCGAAGAUCGGUACGGGCCAUGAGAGUGGGAGCCCGGAGAUGGACACUGAGACACGGGUCCAGGCCCUACGGGGCGCAGCAGGCGCGAAACCUCCGCAAUGCGGGCAACCGCGACGGGGGGACCCCCAGUGCCGUGGCAUCGCCACGGCUUUUCCGGAGUGUAAAGAGCUCCGGGAAUAAGGGCUGGGCAAGGCCGGUGGCAGCCGCCGCGGUAAUACCGGCGGCCCGAGUGGUGGCCGCUAUUAUUGGGCCUAAAGCGUCCGUAGCCGGGCCCGUAAGUCCCUGGCGAAAUCCCACGGCUCAACCGUGGGGCUUGCUGGGGAUACUGCGGGCCUUGGGACCGGGAGAGGCGGAGGGUACUCCUGGGGUAGGGGUGAAAUCCUAUAAUCCCAGGAGGACCGCCAGUGGCGAAGGCGCUCCGCUGGAACGGGUCCGACGGUGAGGGACGAAGGCCAGGGGAGCGAACCGGAUUAGAUACCCGGGUAGUCCUGGCUGUAAAGGAUGCGGGCUAGGUGUCGGGCGAGCUUCGAGCUCGCCCGGUGCCGAAGGGAAGCCGUUAAGCCCGCCGCCUGGGGAGUACGGCCGCAAGGCUGAAACUUAAAGGAAUUGGCGGGGGAGCACUACAAGGGGUGGAGCGUGCGGUUUAAUUGGAUUCGACGCCGGGAACCUCACCGGGGGCGACGGCAGGAUGAAGGCCAGGCUGAAGGUCUUGCCGGACACGCCGAGAGGAGGUGCAUGGCCGCCGUCAGCUCGUACCGUGAGGCGUCCACUUAAGUGUGGUAACGAGCGAGACCCGCGCCCCCAGUUGCCAGUCCUCCCCGCUGGGGAGGAGGCACUCUGGGGGGACCGCCGGCGAUAAGCCGGAGGAAGGAGCGGGCGACGGUAGGUCAGUAUGCCCCGAAACCCCCGGGCUACACGCGCGCUACAAUGAGCGGGACAAUGGGAUCCGACCCCGAAAGGGGAAGGUAAUCCCCUAAACCCGCUCCCAGUUCGGAUCGCGGGCUGCAACUCGCCCGUGUGAAGCUGGAAUCCCUAGUACCCGCGUGUCAUCAUCGCGCGGCGAAUACGUCCCUGCUCCUUGCACACACCGCCCGUCACUCCACCCGAGCGGGGUCUGGAUGAGGCCUGGUCUCCCUUCGGGGAGGCCGGGUCGAGUCUGGGCUCCGUGAGGGGGGAGAAGUCGUA
Molecule: ribosomal RNA, 1425 nt
Filed under: Thermococcus sp. LMO-A4
Lineage: Archaea; Methanobacteriati; Methanobacteriota; Thermococci; Thermococcales; Thermococcaceae
Description: bacterial SSU rRNA
Rfam family: Archaeal small subunit ribosomal RNA
Source: RNAcentral